This 523-nucleotide ribosomal RNA is filed under the name uncultured bacterium. Its description in RNAcentral is "partial 16S ribosomal RNA". It matches the Rfam family "Bacterial small subunit ribosomal RNA", at positions 28 to 522 of the family's 1533-position model. The record is from RNAcentral.
GACGAACGCUGGCGGCGUGCCUAAUACAUGCAAGUCGAGCGCAGGAAACUGACGGAACUCUUCGGAGGGAAGGCAGUGGAAUGAGCGGCGGACGGGUGAGUAACACGUAAGGAACCUGCCUCAAGGAUUGGGAUAACUCCGAGAAAUCGGAGCUAAUACCGGAUAGUUCAACGGACCGCAUGGUCCGUUGAUGAAAGGCGCUCCGGCGUCACCUUGAGAUGGCCUUGCGGUGCAUUAGCUAGUUGGGGGGGUAACGGCUCACCAAGGCGACGAUGCAUAGCCGACCUGGGAGGGGAAUCGGCCAAGCUGGAACUACGACACGGCCCAGACUCCUACGGGAGGCAGCAGUAGGGAAUCUUCCACAAUGGACGAAAGUCUGAUGGAGCAACGCCGCGUGAGUGAUGAAGGUUUUCGGAUCGAAAAACUCUGCUGUAAGGGAAGAACACGUACGAGAGGAAAUGCUCGUACCUUGACGGUACCUUACGAGAAAGCCACGGCUAACUACGUGCCAGCCGCCGCAUAA